AUAGGGCUUGAAAGGAUAAUCCUCCAGGAGCAAGUCGAUGUGUUGGAUAUACUCCACCAUGUAUUAUAAUUGCGAAUUAUGAUGUGAAGGAUAGACAAAUGUGACUGCUUUGCUCGUUGAACGGUCUUCUUCCUUGGUCCUGUCUACCCCAAUAUGAGGUUCUGGCUGGGCGAGGUGCAUAUGUUCCAGCAAGGGUAUGGAUGAUAAGCAAGUUACAGAUGCAUAGCUUUAGAAAUUCAUUAGUAGGCCUUUUUUUUAUGGUUAAUGGGAGGGAAAGAUUCCCCACCUGAUUUUCAUUUGAUGGGGCUCUGAAAAGCCUGAUUGUACAGCAAAAAGGGGUACAACAAGGUGGGGAACGAAACGAGUAAUCUCCACACUUUUUCCUUCUGAGGCUGAUACAUGCUUUACUUAUCUCUGAGUUACUGUGCUGCUGUUGUUUUAAUGUUGAUUUGAAUUUAUUUACCUUAACUGUUAGAACUCUGGAACAGGUAAGGUAUUUAAAUUGUCUUUUUUAUAUAGAGUAGAUUACUAAACUGAAUCACUGCAGUGAAACCUGUCCUGUGGCUUAGUAUAUCUGGUGUGAUUACUGCUAAACUUAAACAGUGAUGUCACUUUGUUUCAUUUAGGUGUUGGAUAUACUCCACCAUGUAUUAUAAAUUAUGAUGACAAUGAACGGAGAAAUGUGAUUGCUGUGCUCUUUGAACAGUAUGUCACGCCGUCUUCCUCCGUGCUGUCCACCCCAUGCUCGAGCGACAUGUGAUUCUGGCUGAUGGAGCUGUAUAUGGUGGUUUGGGUCAUUACGCAUUCUGCCAAUGGCGUGGAGGUGGCAGUGGCCGAUAUUGUGGUGGAACCAGCGAUGGAGUGCAUACAAUAGGUUUGUUGCUCCUUCUCUUGCCCUCAUCCUAGUUCCACUGAUGCUGCAGUUUGUGAUGCCAUGCCAUUAAGGUGACUGAUGGGUAUGGAUGAUAAUUGAUGCACGUUACAGAUGCAUAUGCUUAGACAUUAAUUAGCAGGCCUCAUAAUUUUAAGUGUUCAAAUUACAAGCGAUCUCCACACUUUUUUCCUUUUGAAGCUGAUACUUGAUUUGUCAUUUGUGUUUCUCUGAGUUACUUUGUAGAUGCACUAAACUAUUGUCCAUAGCAAUUGUUUUAAUAUUUAUUUGAAUCCAGUUACAUUAAAUAUUAGAACUCUAGAACGGGCAUGGUAUUUAAAUUGUCUUUUUUUAGAGUAAAUUGUAUCACUACAGUAAACUGCCCUGUGGCUUAUUAUAUCUGGUGUGAUUGAGCAAAUAACCGUAUUUUUUUAUUUAGUUUCAGAAAGGAUACUAGAAAGGAUACUUCAGUGAGUUAUGAAAAGUUCAUACUUCAUAAUCUCAUUGCAGUUUUCUUGCUUUUAGUCUAGCAAGAAUGACAUGUCUGUCUGAUCGCAUAAAAGAAUGGCAUGCCUGUCAACUUAAAGCAAACAUGAUACCUAUUUUCAUUUCCAUUACAGAUGCCUUUUCUUUAAUGUUAGUGUAAUGGUUGGUCACACAAAAGAUGAAUUUCGGGUACCAUUGCUUUGUCAAUAACAGGAGACAAUAACAUUAAAUUGGCAACACUAGCUGUGUUAAUUUAAGGAGGUGGCCUCCAAUCAGAGAAGUUCAAUGUUGGUGGCCGAGAGAAGCUAAUGUGUAUGUUUUUAAUGUAGUUUGGGCACAAAACCUCUUCGAUCCUGGUUGUACUUUGAGGUGAUAGUAGGAUUUGUUUACCUGUAGACAUUUCUUAUUCGUUCUUUCUUAGAGUAAUACUUGUCUUCGGCAAGUCCUUUGACUCCUAGCUGACUGAUCAUGGAUGAACCGGCGCAGCGGCGCUGAUAUCCUUUUGACACAGAUGCUGAAUAUUGGCUGCAGUUCCUGUUCUCUCCAAAAUCAAUAUUCUACUCUGUUUUCUGUUUUCCCAUCAGAUCCUUAUCUGUUGUAUUUCUAUUAAUCUUGCAACCAUCUAGUCCUUAAAUGCUUCUCCAUCAUGGCAGGAGGCAAUAUUGGAAUACACAAUAACCCUUGUAAAAGUUUGUCAGGACCUAUAGUUAUUGAAGGAACAACAAAACCGUGCAUCUAUCAAUGUGAUAAAAAUCUCAUGCAGGUUGUAUGUGUGAGUUGUGACAUAUUUUUCCAACCAUGAAGCAUGAAGCGUUGAUAUCAGUUCUUAAAAUUUAAGAUCCAGUCCCGAAUCCCGAUGCUUGGGAUGCCAUGAUGAAUACCUGGGAAACCCUAUCAUGCAAGAGGAAAGCACAGCUACCCAAGUGAAAAAAAAGGUCUCUACAUCACAUGCUGUGGAGGGAAAGGACCAUGAAGAUAAGGUGCAAGGAGACACCCAGGACCAAGAAAUGCAUGUUUCAAAGGGUACCGUGCCAUCUGGGAGGCAACCAUCUCCAGGCGUUGUCCAUGGUGUUAGCGCUGAGAUUGAACCCAGUGAUCAAAGGAAGCCCCGCGCAAAUUCAGAAGCUCCAACCAAGCUGCUUGGCCUUGUCGUUGCGCAGACACCAAGAUCGGAGCAGUUUAUCAAGGAGCUGGAAAAUGAAGGCGCACUUGUGUUUGCUGUGAAGGGGUCGGUGAAGCCGGGUCCUUCCGGGCUGUAGGCCUCCAAUGCUGUGGGGUCAGAAAACUAACCCGCGACAAUGGCGCUCCUCCGGCUUCUGAAGCAUAGCUGACCGUAGUUAACCCUGUAGGAGUGUGUGAUGUACCAAACUGAAGCUCGACUGGAGCUUGUUCAAUAUGUCGCUGUUGAAAAACUCAAGAUGGUACUGAUCAAAGUCUAGAAAAAUGAGGUUUCUUUAUGACAUGCGCAUUGCUUCUCAUUCUGUACUGCGUGCUGUUCUCUGCUAGCUCCGAGUACAGAUUAUCUCGAAUGCAAAUGCUGUACGAGACUGUAUGUUGCAAGCUCUGAAAUUCUGAGCAUGUUGAU
Molecule: long non-coding RNA, 2942 nt
Organism: Panicum virgatum (switchgrass)
Lineage: Eukaryota; Viridiplantae; Streptophyta; Magnoliopsida; Poales; Poaceae
Exons: 4
Source: RefSeq, a predicted model, not a curated record